UACGGAGGGUGCACGCGUUAUUCGGAAUCACUGGGCGUAAAGGACGCGUAGGCGGGUUGGCAAGUCAGAUGUGAAAUCCUACAGCUUAACUGUAGAACUGCAUUUGAAACUGCUAACCUAGAGUAUGGGAGGGGGAGAUGGAAUUAGUGGUGUAGGAGUAAAAUCCGUAGAUAUCACUAGGAAUACCGAAAGCGAAGGCGAUCUCCUGGAACAUAACUGACGCUAAGGCGUGAAAGCGUGGGGAGCAAACAGGAUUAGAAACCCUAGUAGUCC
RNAcentral lists this ribosomal RNA (273 nucleotides) under uncultured bacterium. Its description in RNAcentral is "partial 16S ribosomal RNA". It matches the Rfam family "Bacterial small subunit ribosomal RNA", at positions 524 to 796 of the family's 1533-position model. The record is from RNAcentral.